ACGAACGCUGGCGGCGUGCUUAACCCCUGCAAGUCGCACGGUAAGGCUCCAGCUUGCUGGGGUACACGAGUGGCGAACGGGUGAGUAACACGUGGGUGACCUGCCCUGCACUUCGGGAUAAGCCUGGGAAACUGGGUCUAAUACCGGAUAGGACCGCACCGUGAGGGUGUGGUGGAAAGUUUUUUCGGUGUGGGAUGGGCCCGCGGCCUAUCAGCUUGUUGGUGGGGUAAUGGCCUACCAAGGCGGCGACGGGUAGCCGGCCUGAGAGGGUGGACGGCCACAUUGGGACUGAGACACGGCCCAGACUCCUACGGGAGGCAGCAGUGGGGAAUAUUGCACAAUGGGCGGAAGCCUGAUGCAGCGACGCCGCGUGGGGGAUGACGGCCUUCGGGUUGUAAACUCCUUUCACCAUCGACGAAGGGUUUCUGACGGUAGAUGGAGAAGAAGCACCGGCUAACUACGUG
This 464-nucleotide ribosomal RNA is filed under the name uncultured bacterium. RNAcentral describes it as "partial 16S ribosomal RNA". It matches the Rfam family "Bacterial small subunit ribosomal RNA", at positions 29 to 507 of the family's 1533-position model. The record is from RNAcentral.